Molecule: unclassified non-coding RNA, 381 nt
Filed under: soil metagenome
Description: partial contains 5.8S ribosomal RNA, internal transcribed spacer 2, and large subunit ribosomal RNA
Rfam family: 5.8S ribosomal RNA (bases 1-120)
Source: RNAcentral
GAUGAAGAACGCAGCGAAAUGCGAUAAGUAAUGCGAAUUGCAGAAUUCAGUGAAUCAUCGAAUCUUUGAACGCACCUUGCGCUCCUUGGUAUUCCGAGGAGCAUGCCUGUUUGAGUGUCAUUAAUAUAUCAACCUCUUCAGCUUAUGCUUGUUGAGUGUUGGAUGGUGGGGGUUUGCUGGUGUCUUAUGAAGUCAGCUCCUCUGAAAUGCAUUAGCGGAACAAUUUGUUGACCGUUCAUUGGUGUGAUAAAAAUAUCUACGCUAUUGACGUCAGUCAGUUCAGCUUCUAACAGUCCAUUGACUUGGACAAAUUUUUCAUUAAUGUGACCUCAAAUCAGGUAGGACUACCCGCUGAACUUAAGCAUAUCAAUAAGCGGAGGA